AGUGGGGAAGGACAACCCCCUAGCUGUCCAAUGGCUCCUGGAGCCAGAGAGAUGGCACCCAGCAUGCUGCAGUCUAGCCUCUCCCACUGACCACCUGAGCCUGCUGAAGCUGGCUUAUAUAAGGCUUUGGAAAGAGAAAGGGCUUUGGUGACUCUCUGGAAAUCAGGAAAAACUGUUCCAAGAUGUGUGUUAGAGAAGGUCAGGAUCUCGUGUUUAAUAAGCAGUUUUAGGCCUGACUUCUCUAAGGACAGUGUGUAUGGGCCUGUUUUCCCCCAGUACAUAGGGUCAGAGUCCUGCCAGCAAUAGCCAAAACAUGGUAGAAUCAGUCAAGAGAUCUAACAAAAGUGCUCUUGGAGGAAGAACUUCAGAGAAAGAAGCAAAUUUUAUGCUGAGAAAUCAUGAUUCCACACUCUGGAGUGAGAACUCUAGAUAGUUUACUCUGUGGUCACUUACUCGUAUUUCUACAUAGAUGGAAGGUCUCGGCCCUGGAGUUCUGGUCUACCUUUCUGCUCCUUUUUCUCCAAGGAACAGGUGGGGGUUCCUCAUAAGUGCCAGACCAGCU
Long non-coding RNA from Homo sapiens (human), 562 nucleotides. The record is from Ensembl. Lineage: Eukaryota; Metazoa; Chordata; Mammalia; Primates; Hominidae.